This 72-nucleotide transfer RNA is filed under the name Candidatus Beckwithbacteria bacterium. Its description in RNAcentral is "tRNA-Ile". It matches the Rfam family "tRNA". Rfam says of the family: Transfer RNA (tRNA) molecules are approximately 80 nucleotides in length. Lineage: Bacteria; Candidatus Beckwithiibacteriota. The record is from RNAcentral.
GGAAUCGUAGCUCAAUGGUAGAGCUCCAAGCUUAUACCUUGGUGGUUGAAGGUUCGAGUCCUUCCGAUUCCA